CCCUUAGAUGUUCUGGGCCGCACGCGUGCUACACUGAACGGUUCAAUGGGUAAGGUAGUGCGAAAGCAUGACCUAAUCUCGAAAUCCGUUCGUGCUGGGGAUAGAAGCUUGCAAUUAUCCUUCUUGAACGAGGAAUACCUUGUAAGCGUGAGUCAUCAUCUCACGCUGAAUACGUCCCUGCCCUUUGUACACACCGCCCGUCGCUCCUACCGAUUGAGUGUUCCGGUGAGGCUUUGGGAGGAUGGCCUCAACAUGAGUUUAUCGUGUUUUGCCGUUUGAACUUAGUCAAACCUUAUCACUUAGAGGAAGGAGAAGUCGUAACA
Molecule: ribosomal RNA, 323 nt
Filed under: uncultured eukaryote
Lineage: Eukaryota
Description: partial 18S ribosomal RNA
Rfam family: Eukaryotic small subunit ribosomal RNA
Source: RNAcentral